CACGUAGCACAACCAGGUGGCUCAGCAGGUGAGAGCCCGGCUGCCACGGCUGUCACCGCAAAUGUGCCUGCAUCGCCAUUAGCAAGCAUUACAGCAAAGGGGGGUAUAUGCAUCAUAAAUAAACAGUCAUUCAUAUUCAGUAUACAAAGUUCGGCAAAAUCUUCACUACAUUGCUUUUCAACAAUGUCUGACAGAAAAGCAUUCCACUCGCUCAUGGGCCUACAAAAGAAUGAAUAACGAAAAGUGUCACCUUCAAAAGGACCUUUGCGCGCCUUUACUCGCUAUUCGCCGGCAGGCAAGAAAAAGGCCCUGAGACUCGAGUUUUUUCACAGCGUUUAUUAUUCAAAAACAGGCAUAGACAAGAACAAGUACAUCAAACGUUGAAAAGGAAAAAAAGAACAGCAUCUGCAAACAUGAAGAAAUUAGAGCCUUGAAGAUUCAUUGGUCGCAUGCGCAUUUGAACGCGCUGUUUUUCAAUAACGAAUACUACUUGAUCGUAAGCUAGGCAGCAACCAGCCAUUCCUGAUAUGGCAUUCUGAUCUUUUGUCAAGGGCGCUCUUCAUGUCGCGUUGCCUGAUUUCAUGGUUGCUUGAACAUGAGCGAAUAACCGUGGUUGUCGCCUGUAGCAGUGGAAGCGCUGCACUGUUAAGCGCGUGGAUGAAGGUACGAUUUCAGGCACAGAGGAAGGAAACAGUUUGGAGGGAGCAUUAUGCAAUGCAAUAAAGAAAGAAAAAUAAGUACACGAGGCACGCGCAUGCCCAGCCCAGUUUUCCCGAUGGAGCAAGGUCUCCUGAACAUUUUUUGCACAUAUUUGCUCAUUUCUCCUUUGUCUCAGGAUUACUAAGCAUCAUUAGAAACUAUAGAUGUGCCUUUUUUUGCUCUGUCAUCUGCUGGAUUCGUACUUCUUCCCCCCUACCAAAACGGGCUCCUUGAUCCAUAGCCCUUCUUCAUCCACACGGUGACGUGCAAAUGUUUGUAGCUCACAAGGCCCCAAACUAACGUGUGUAUAUUUUUAUUCCCAUCUACCACGUAAGCAGGAAUCCAUUGAGAAAUGCGCGUACCGUGCAGCCUCAAAGGAAACGGCCACCCAGGCGACGCCGGAAUUCGGUUCUGCCGGUGCACAGGUUCGCCCUUGCAGCGUCGUUGGCUGCAAACCCAGCGAUUGGCGGUUCGAAAAGCGGCGACAUGCUGUGCCUCAACAGCAGGGCAGCAGGCGCACGAAGUGGCUGCGACGCAUAGG
Rhipicephalus microplus (southern cattle tick) is the source of this 1240-nucleotide long non-coding RNA. NCBI's taxonomy places the organism in Eukaryota, Metazoa, Arthropoda, Arachnida, Ixodida, Ixodidae. The record is from RefSeq and is a predicted model, not a curated record.